GACGAACGCUGGCGGCGUGCUUAACACAUGCAAGUCGAGCGGUAAGGCCCUUUCGGGGGUACGACGAGCGGCGAACGGGUGAGUAACACGUGGGUGACCUGCCCUCAGCUCUGGGAUAAGCCUGGGAAACCGGGUCUAAUACCGGAUAUGACUCCAUGACGCAUGUUGGUGGGGUGGAAAGCCUUGUGCGGCUGAGGAGUGGGCCCGCGGCCUAUCAGCUUGUUGGUGGGGUGAUGGCCUACCAAGGCGACGACGGGUAGCCGGCCUGAGAGGGCGACCGGCCACACUGGGACUGAGACACGGCCCAGACUCCUACGGGAGGCAGCAGUGGGGAAUCUUGCGCAAUGGGCGAAAGCCUGACGCAGCGACGCCGCGUGAGGGAUGACGGCCU
Molecule: ribosomal RNA, 391 nt
Filed under: uncultured bacterium
Lineage: Bacteria
Description: bacterial SSU rRNA
Rfam family: Bacterial small subunit ribosomal RNA
Source: RNAcentral